AUUGUAGCUUGCUAUAGUAUAACUUAGUGGCAGACGGGUGAGUAAUGUAUAGGAAUCUACCUAGUAGUACGGGACAAUUGCUGGAAACGGCAACUAAUACCGUAUACGCCCUACGGGGAAAGAUUUAUUGCUAUUAGAUGAGCCUAUAUUAGAUUAGUUAGUUGGUGGGGUAAUGGCCUACCAAGGCAAUGAUCUAUAGCUGAUCUGAGAGGAUGAUCAGCCACACUGGAACUGAGAUACGGUCCAG
RNAcentral lists this ribosomal RNA (247 nucleotides) under uncultured bacterium. RNAcentral describes it as "partial 16S ribosomal RNA". It matches the Rfam family "Bacterial small subunit ribosomal RNA", at positions 72 to 334 of the family's 1533-position model. The record is from RNAcentral.